GACGAACGCUGGCGGCGUGCCUAAUACAUGCAAGUAGAACGCACAGUUUAUACCGUAGCUUGCUACACCAUAGACUGUGAGUUGCGAACGGGUGAGUAACGCGUAGGUAACCUGCCUGGUAGCGGGGGAUAACUAUUGGAAACGAUAGCUAAUACCGCAUGAUAUUAAUUAUUGCAUGAUAAUUAAUUGAAAGGUGCAAUUGCACCACUACCAGAUGGACCUGCGUUGUAUUAGCUAGUAGGUGAGGUAACGGCUCACCUAGGCGACGAUACAUAGCCGACCUGGGAGGGUGAUCCGCCACACUGGGACUGAGACACGGCCCAGACCCCUACGGGAGGCAGCAGUAGGGAAUCUUCGGCAAUGGACGAAAGUCUGACCGAGCAACGCCGCGUGAGUGAAGAAGGUUUUCGGAUCGUAAAGCUCUGUUGUAAGAGAAGAACGGGUGUGAGAGUGGAAAGUUCACACUGUGACGGUAUCUUACCAGAAAGGGACGGCUAACUACGUG
RNAcentral lists this ribosomal RNA (505 nucleotides) under uncultured bacterium. Its description in RNAcentral is "partial 16S ribosomal RNA". It matches the Rfam family "Bacterial small subunit ribosomal RNA", at positions 28 to 507 of the family's 1533-position model. The record is from RNAcentral.